CCCGCACAAGCAGCGGAGCGUGUGGUUUAAUUCGAUGUUACACGAAGAACCUUACCAGGGUUUGACAUGCAAGUGGUAGGAAGCCGAAAGGUGACCGACCCUUCGGGGAGCUUGCACAGGUGCUGCAUGGCUGUCGUCAGCUCGUGUCGUGAGAUGUUCGGUUAAGUCCGCUAACGAGCGCAACCCUCGCUGUGUGUUAUAUGUGUCACACGGGACUGCCGGUCUUAAGCCGGAGGAAGGUGGGGAGUGAUGUCAAGUCAGCAUGGCCUUUAUAUCCUGGGCUACACACACGCUACAAUGGCCAACACAAUAGGUUGCUAAGCCGCGAGGUGGCGCCAAUCCAUAAAGUUAGGUCUCAGUUCAGAUUGUAGGCUGCAACCCGCCUGCAUGAAGAUGGAGUUGCUAGUAACCGCAGGUCAGCUAUACUGCGGUGAAUACGUUCCCGGGGCUU
Molecule: ribosomal RNA, 451 nt
Filed under: uncultured Leptolinea sp.
Lineage: Bacteria; Bacillati; Chloroflexota; Anaerolineae; Anaerolineales; Anaerolineaceae
Description: bacterial SSU rRNA
Rfam family: Bacterial small subunit ribosomal RNA
Source: RNAcentral